Molecule: long non-coding RNA, 326 nt
Organism: Polyodon spathula (Mississippi paddlefish)
Lineage: Eukaryota; Metazoa; Chordata; Actinopteri; Acipenseriformes; Polyodontidae
Exons: 2
Source: RefSeq, a predicted model, not a curated record
CUUCCAAUUAUACCUGUCUUCCGGAUGUGGGAGAAAACCCAAACAAUGGGUACACAAAUUUUGACCAUUUUGGAUGGGCUUUCGUUACAUCCUUUCAGCUCAUGACUUUGGAUCAUUGGGAAGACCCUUACAAUUUGGUCCUCCGGGCCUGUGGAUUAUACUAUGUCCUGUUCUUCACUGUUGUGAUCAUGUUUGGCUCCUACUACAUUAUAAACCUGGUCCUAGCGGUAGUGGCGUCAUCUUACGAAAAAGAGUCGAAAAUAAAAGAAAAGAGGGAGAAGGAAAACGCUCACACUCUGGAAAUAUGGAAGAAGAAGGAGGAAAUG